RNAcentral lists this transfer RNA (92 nucleotides) under Actinoplanes regularis. RNAcentral describes it as "tRNA-Ser". The record is from RNAcentral. Lineage: Bacteria; Bacillati; Actinomycetota; Actinomycetes; Micromonosporales; Micromonosporaceae.
UGGUCCUGGUGGACGGCGCGACCGGCCGGGUCGAGAUCGGCGUCGACGAGGAGACCGUGGCGGCCGCCCGGCUCGGCUCCGCCAGCUCCGUC